Molecule: non-coding RNA, 928 nt
Organism: Physcomitrium patens
Lineage: Eukaryota; Viridiplantae; Streptophyta; Bryopsida; Funariales; Funariaceae
Source: RefSeq, a predicted model, not a curated record
UAGCUCUACCCAGCACAAGGAGGAGGGAGUGAGGGAGGUUGAGAGAAAUGAAUUGACAGGUUACCAUAAAAGUUGAGGUUAUUAUUUCUUGGCAAUUCUUUUCUACUGUAAAAAGCAUGAUGGAAAAUAACAAUAAUAAUAAAUCCAGAGAAAGAGUCUUGUAAGAAAUUAUCAAGUAUUAGAAGAUAGGAGUGUGAUAGACAUGGGCACACUUGGAUUUGAGUAGUGAUAGAAUGUGAAACCUUGUUGCAAAGGCAAGUGGGACAAUGUCCAUUGAGGUACCAUCUCUUAGGAGUUACAAGUCAAGGAAGAUCCAAUUUGAGACAUCAAAUCUCUCUCUUUCUAAGUCUUUGCACUCUUUUUCUUUCAUUUUAUUCCACAGCUCCCUGGAACAUCAGCCAUCAGCUAUCAGCCUUGACUCCAGGGUGCCAUUGCAGAUGAGGAUUUGCAGGUCACCACAGAAUGAGAGAAAAAAGCAAGAGAGAGAAUGAAGCUGAUCAUUAAUGGUCAACAGAUGCAGGUCUUAUUAAGCCAUCAGCAAUCAAAGUCUCGUGUGUGUUUGGGUAGUGUUGGGUGGUGGAGUCGCUCAAUAUCUGUCUGUGGCUGAGCUUGGCUUGGCUUGGCUGAUCCCAGGCCAUGGUCCCAUGAAGAAUCUCUCCUUGUUACUCACUCCUCUUGCUUCUUCACAACAUUCACUGGCUGUUUACAAGGGUCCCCUGUUCAAUCAACUCUCCACUCCUUGCACUCUUGAGCAAUCAUCCAAGAAGAAAAGGAAGCAUAGCUAUGUGGUUUAGAAAGGGCUUGCACUUAGGAAGAGUCAGCGGAUCUACUUGACUUACAAGUCAUUUAAUAAUAAUGCUUACUAAAUUUCCAUAUAUGGAACCUGUGGAUGCAUUGUUUUUCUAUGAUUGAGGUAAAAUUAUUGCUA